Molecule: ribosomal RNA, 252 nt
Filed under: uncultured bacterium
Lineage: Bacteria
Description: partial 16S ribosomal RNA
Rfam family: Bacterial small subunit ribosomal RNA
Source: RNAcentral
ACGAAGGGGGCUAGCGUUACUCGGAAUUACUGGGCGUAAAGCGUGCGUAGGCUGUUUUGUAAGUUGGUAGUUAAAUUCUCGAGCUCAACUCGAGGCCUGCUAUCAAGACUGCAAGACUAGAGUACUGGAGAAGAUAGUGGAAUUCCUAGUGUAGAGGUGAAAUUCAUAGAUAUUAGGAGGAACACCAGAGGCGAAAGCGACUAUCUGGCCAGAAACUGACGCUGUUGCACGAAAGCGUGGGGAGCAAACAGG